Molecule: ribosomal RNA, 447 nt
Filed under: uncultured bacterium
Lineage: Bacteria
Description: partial 16S ribosomal RNA
Rfam family: Bacterial small subunit ribosomal RNA
Source: RNAcentral
AGCGAACGCUGGCGGCAGGCUUAACACAUGCAAGUCGAACGCCCCGCAAGGGGAGUGGCAGACGGGUGAGUAACACGUGGGAACGUACCCUUUGGUUCGGAAUAACUUGGGGAAACUCAAGCUAAUACCGGAUAAGCCCUUAUGGGGAAAGGUUUACUGCCGAAGGAUCGGCCCGCGUCUGAUUAGCUAGUUGGUGAGGUAAUGGCUCACCACGGCUGCUAUCAGUAGCUGGUCUGAGAGGAUGAUCAGCCACACUGGGACUGAGACACGGCCCAAACUCCGACGGGAGGCAGCAAUGGGGAAUAUUUGACAAUGGGGGCAACCCUGAGCCAGCCAUGCCGCGUGAGUGAUGAAUGCCUUAGGGUUGUAAAGCUCUUUUACCCGGGACGAUAAUGACUGUACCGGGAGAAUAAGCCCCGGCUAACUUCGUGCCAGCCGCCGCGGUAA